Molecule: ribosomal RNA, 305 nt
Filed under: uncultured bacterium
Lineage: Bacteria
Description: bacterial SSU rRNA
Rfam family: Bacterial small subunit ribosomal RNA
Source: RNAcentral
GUCCCUACGGGGGGCAGCAGUGGGGAAUAUUGCACAAUGGGGGAAGCCCUGAUGCAGCGACGCCGCGUGAAGGACGAAGUAUUUCGGUACGUAAACUUCUAUCAGCAGGGAAGAAAAUGACGGUACCUGACCAAGAAGCCCCGGCUAACUACGUGCCAGCAGCCGCGGUAAUACGUAGGGGGCAAGCGUUAUCCGGAUUUACUGGGUGUAAAGGGAGCGUAGACGGCAGCGCAAGUCUGGAGUGAAAUGCCGGGGCCCAACCCCGGAACUGCUCUGGAAACUGUGAAGCUGGAGUGCAGGAGAGG